GGGCGAGUGGCGAAACCGGCAGACGCGCACGGUUCAGGGCCGUGUGGGAGCAAUCCCGUGGAGGUUCAAAUCCUCUCUCGCCCACAA
This 87-nucleotide transfer RNA is filed under the name Candidatus Giovannonibacteria bacterium RIFCSPHIGHO2_01_FULL_45_33. RNAcentral's name for it is "tRNA-Leu". It matches the Rfam family "tRNA". From Rfam's summary of the family: Transfer RNA (tRNA) molecules are approximately 80 nucleotides in length. Their secondary structure includes four short double-helical elements and three loops (D, anti-codon, and T loops). Lineage: Bacteria; Candidatus Giovannoniibacteriota. The record is from RNAcentral. RNAcentral also lists the same sequence under 1 other name.